AAGGAAUAGACGGGGACCCGCACAAGCGGUGGAGCAUGUGGUUUAAUUCGAAGAUACGCGAAGAACCUUACCUAGGCUUGAUAUCCAACAAAUUCUGUAGAGAUACGGAAGUGCUAGCUUGCUAGAACUUAGAGACAGGUGCUGCACGGCUGUCGUCAGCUCGUGUCGUGAGAUGUUGGGUUAAGUCCCGCAACGAGCGCAACCCUCGUCCUUAGUUGCUAACGAUUCGGUCGAGCA
This 237-nucleotide ribosomal RNA is filed under the name Campylobacter upsaliensis. RNAcentral's name for it is "partial 16S ribosomal RNA". It matches the Rfam family "Bacterial small subunit ribosomal RNA", at positions 904 to 1137 of the family's 1533-position model. Lineage: Bacteria; Pseudomonadati; Campylobacterota; Epsilonproteobacteria; Campylobacterales; Campylobacteraceae. The record is from RNAcentral.